RNAcentral lists this ribosomal RNA (1552 nucleotides) under Staphylococcus roterodami. Its description in RNAcentral is "16S ribosomal RNA". It matches the Rfam family "Bacterial small subunit ribosomal RNA". Lineage: Bacteria; Bacillati; Bacillota; Bacilli; Caryophanales; Staphylococcaceae. The record is from RNAcentral.
UUUAUGGAGAGUUUGAUCCUGGCUCAGGAUGAACGCUGGCGGCGUGCCUAAUACAUGCAAGUCGAGCGAACAGAUGAGAAGCUUGCUUCUCUGAUGUUAGCGGCGGACGGGUGAGUAACACGUGGAUAACCUACCUAUAAGACUGGGAUAACUUCGGGAAACCGGAGCUAAUACCGGAUAAUAUUUUGAACCGCAUGGUUCAAAAGUGAAAGACGGUCUUGCUGUCACUUAUAGAUGGAUCCGCGCUGCAUUAGCUAGUUGGUAAGGUAACGGCUUACCAAGGCAACGAUGCAUAGCCGACCUGAGAGGGUGAUCGGCCACACUGGAACUGAGACACGGUCCAGACUCCUACGGGAGGCAGCAGUAGGGAAUCUUCCGCAAUGGGCGAAAGCCUGACGGAGCAACGCCGCGUGAGUGAUGAAGGUCUUCGGAUCGUAAAACUCUGUUAUUAGGGAAGAACAUAUGUGUAAGUAACUGUGCACAUCUUGACGGUACCUAAUCAGAAAGCCACGGCUAACUACGUGCCAGCAGCCGCGGUAAUACGUAGGUGGCAAGCGUUAUCCGGAAUUAUUGGGCGUAAAGCGCGCGUAGGCGGUUUUUUAAGUCUGAUGUGAAAGCCCACGGCUCAACCGUGGAGGGUCAUUGGAAACUGGAAAACUUGAGUGCAGAAGAGGAAAGUGGAAUUCCAUGUGUAGCGGUGAAAUGCGCAGAGAUAUGGAGGAACACCAGUGGCGAAGGCGACUUUCUGGUCUGUAACUGACGCUGAUGUGCGAAAGCGUGGGGAUCAAACAGGAUUAGAUACCCUGGUAGUCCACGCCGUAAACGAUGAGUGCUAAGUGUUAGGGGGUUUCCGCCCCUUAGUGCUGCAGCUAACGCAUUAAGCACUCCGCCUGGGGAGUACGACCGCAAGGUUGAAACUCAAAGGAAUUGACGGGGACCCGCACAAGCGGUGGAGCAUGUGGUUUAAUUCGAAGCAACGCGAAGAACCUUACCAAAUCUUGACAUCCUUUGACAACUCUAGAGAUAGAGCCUUCCCCUUCGGGGGACAAAGUGACAGGUGGUGCAUGGUUGUCGUCAGCUCGUGUCGUGAGAUGUUGGGUUAAGUCCCGCAACGAGCGCAACCCUUAAGCUUAGUUGCCAUCAUUAAGUUGGGCACUCUAAGUUGACUGCCGGUGACAAACCGGAGGAAGGUGGGGAUGACGUCAAAUCAUCAUGCCCCUUAUGAUUUGGGCUACACACGUGCUACAAUGGACAAUACAAAGGGCAGCGAAACCGCGAGGUCAAGCAAAUCCCAUAAAGUUGUUCUCAGUUCGGAUUGUAGUCUGCAACUCGACUACAUGAAGCUGGAAUCGCUAGUAAUCGUAGAUCAGCAUGCUACGGUGAAUACGUUCCCGGGUCUUGUACACACCGCCCGUCACACCACGAGAGUUUGUAACACCCGAAGCCGGUGGAGUAACCUUUUAGGAGCUAGCCGUCGAAGGUGGGACAAAUGAUUGGGGUGAAGUCGUAACAAGGUAGCCGUAUCGGAAGGUGCGGCUGGAUCACCUCCUUU